RNAcentral lists this transfer RNA (76 nucleotides) under Deltaproteobacteria bacterium. RNAcentral describes it as "tRNA-Arg". It matches the Rfam family "tRNA". Rfam says of the family: Transfer RNA (tRNA) molecules are approximately 80 nucleotides in length. Their secondary structure includes four short double-helical elements and three loops (D, anti-codon, and T loops). The record is from RNAcentral. Lineage: Bacteria; Pseudomonadati; Myxococcota; Myxococcia.
GCGCUCGUAGCUCAAUGGAUAGAGCAACAGCCUUCUAAGCUGUGGGCUGCAGGUUCAAGUCCUGCCGGGCGCGCCA